AUACGUAGGGUGCGAGCGUUGUCCGGAAUUACUGGGCGUAAAGAGCUCGUAGGUGGUUUGUCGCGUCGUCUGUGAAAUUCCGGGGCUUAACUCCGGGCGUGCAGGCGAUACGGGCAUAACUUGAGUACUGUAGGGGAGACUGGAAUUCCUGGUGUAGCGGUGAAAUGCGCAGAUAUCAGGAGAACACCGGUGGCGAAGGCGGGUCUCUGGGCAGUAACUGACGCUGAGGAGCGAAAGCAUGGGUAGCGAACAGGAUUAGAUACCCUGGUAGUCCAUGCCGUAAACGGUGGGCGCUAGGUGUAGGGGUCUUCCACGACUUCUGUGCCGUAGCUAACGCAUUAAGCGCCCCGCCUGGGGGGUACGGCCGCAAGGCUAAAACUCAAAGGAAUUGACGGGG
This 397-nucleotide ribosomal RNA is filed under the name uncultured bacterium. RNAcentral describes it as "partial 16S ribosomal RNA". It matches the Rfam family "Bacterial small subunit ribosomal RNA", at positions 523 to 918 of the family's 1533-position model. The record is from RNAcentral.